CCAAAAGAAAACUGUUUCCCCUCCACCAUCCCUUGGAGCGAUCACGUCCUCACUUAGAAAACUCUUGUCCGAGUUUGAGUCUCGGGUCCUAGGCUUCCUAAAUCUGACUAUUUUGUACACCUUUGUAAUGUGCAGGAACGGAAUCUAGUGAUUUUUAAGACUAUACACUUCCGAAGAGGUGGGUGUGGGAGCUGGGCCAUCAUCGUAUGCAUUUCUCGGUCUGGAUUCUGAGAUCAUUUUGAGUACUUAGAAAACUUGCAGACCGAUUGAAAUGUAGCUUUCUUCUUCAAACAGACGUCUCCAGUGUAGCCCAGGCUAGCCUUGAACUGGCGAUCUUCCUGAGAUUAUAUGGGUCUGUACACCACCGUGUCAUGUUUAUGUAGCUUAUUGAACUCAGAAUUAGCCAUUUCUGGGCUAGUACGAGUAGUGACAUAAGGAAAAUAAAGCAAACAUCAAAGACAGAUGUACUGGCACAAGAUAAAAAAGUCCCUCAACUGACAAAGUUACCAUUUUAAGACUUCUAAGUUUAGCUGAGUGCCUGAUUUAUUUUAUUUAUUUUUUAAUUUUUUUUUUUUUUUGCAUUUUCUUUUUAGUACUGGCAUACCAUAUGAAAUGUGGGCAGUUGCCAGUACACUACGGAGUACCACAGACGAAUUGGUGAUGACUAAAUCAAUUCAUUGAGGCAAAACUUCAUGUGUCUACUGUGUGUGUUAUCUCUGAAAUCAGAGUCUGUGUUUCCAGGGGCUUCUCUGUGUGUAAUAGUAAAUAUACAAAAUGCUAAACAUCUGCCUAAAGCUGAGUUCCAGUAUACAACAUAAUACAGAACACUAUUGUGUAUCUGAUAGCCAUGGAUUUGGACUGUAUGGUUUCAGCGGGAUCUUGUCCAUUUUCUGUAUUCUUCAGCACCUUUGUCUCACUUUCCACCUCCAUACCUUUUGCAAUCUUUGAGUGCCAGCCCCGUUUUAUUAUACGACUGACUAACAGUUUCACAAGAAGACUGAGGCCAUUGACUGCAAAUUCCUUCAAUUUUCCAAAUGCUAGAGAUGGGCUGAUCUUUUCUCAGUAUGGAGAGAAUGACAGAACUCCUUGCCCUCAUGCAAGGUCAGUCAACUCUCCAACUAUAUUCUGGUUUCAGUGUCUCUCUUUGGCCUGUUUUUUGUUUUUCUGAUUUCAGUCCUUCACAAAGUUUGGCUCCCUUUUGUAACUUACUCAGGUUCAUUCCUUCAUAGUUGUACAUUAUGUAUGAAAUGCAACUUCGUUAUUUGGAAAAAGUUCUUGCUUUGCUGUAUAGAAAUGAAAGAUAAUCUUUGGGGGUUUGUCAGGUAAAUCCAAACUAUUAGGAUAGUCAAGUCCCCUGGAAUGAUUUGUAUCUAUUUUUGAAUAUAUUUUACUUAGUAAAUUUUUACAUAUUUUCUCCCUUUGUCAGCCUUGUAGCCAAAACUGGCUGGCCAUGUAUUAGGCACACCAAUAAACUAAACCUCAUGUGUUUUCAAAAAAAAAAAAAAA
RNAcentral lists this long non-coding RNA (1506 nucleotides) under Mus musculus (house mouse). Its description in RNAcentral is "predicted gene 9958 (Gm9958)". The record is from RNAcentral. Lineage: Eukaryota; Metazoa; Chordata; Mammalia; Rodentia; Muridae.